CAGUCGCCGCGGGAAUACGUAAGUGGCAAGCGUUGUCCGGAAUUAUUGGGCGUAAAGCGCGCGCAGGCGGAUCAGUUAGUCUGUCUUAAAAGUUCGGGGCUUAACCCCGUGAUGGGAUGGAAACUGCUGAUCUAGAGUAUCGGAGAGGAAAGUGGAAUUCCUAGUGUAGCGGUGAAAUGCGUAGAUAUUAGGAAGAACACCAGUGGCGAAGGCGACUUUCUGGACGAAAACUGACGCUGAGGCGCGAAAGCCAGGGGAGCGAACGGGAUUAGAUACCCCUGUAGUCCCUGUCUCUUAUACA
This 301-nucleotide ribosomal RNA is filed under the name uncultured bacterium. RNAcentral's name for it is "partial 16S ribosomal RNA". It matches the Rfam family "Bacterial small subunit ribosomal RNA", at positions 509 to 809 of the family's 1533-position model. The record is from RNAcentral.